AACGAACGCUGGCGGCGUGGCUAAGACAUGCAAGUCGAACGGACCAGUCAAUCGGGUAACUGAAAGAUUGGUUAGUGGCGAAAGGGUGAGGAAUAGAUAGAUAACGUACCUUGUGCUUCAGAAUAGCGUCAUACCCGCAAGGGUAUUUCCGAAAGGGGCGGUAAUGCUGAAUAAAGUAACGAAUCGUAUGGUUUGUUACCAAAGAUUUAUCGGCGCAAGAGCGGUCUAUCUCCUAUCAGCUAGUUGGUGAGGUAAUGGCUCACCAAGGCGAUGACGGGUACCGGGGCUGAGAGGUUGGCCCGGCACAUCGGAACUGAGACACUGUCCGGACCUCCACGGAGGGCUGCAGUAACGAAUAUUGGGCAAUGGGCGAAAGCCUGACCCAGCGACGCCGCGUGUGGGAGGAAGUCCCUCGGGAUGUAAACCACUGUCAGGGUGAAGAAAGACCGCAAGGUUUGAUCUAACCCAGAGGAAGCAACGGCUAACUUCGUGCCAGCAGCCGCGGUAAUACGAAGGUUGCAAGCGUUGUUCGGAAUCACUGGGCUUAAAGCGCAUGUAGGCGGACAGGAAAGCGUUUUGUGAAAUCCCUCGGCUUAACCGAGGAAUUGCUUGGCGAACUUCCUGUCUUGAGGCAAGUAGGGGUGCAUGGAACUCUUGGUGGAGCGGUGGAAUGCGUAGAUAUCAAG
RNAcentral lists this ribosomal RNA (686 nucleotides) under uncultured Synergistota bacterium. Its description in RNAcentral is "bacterial SSU rRNA". It matches the Rfam family "Bacterial small subunit ribosomal RNA", at positions 28 to 701 of the family's 1533-position model. The record is from RNAcentral. Lineage: Bacteria; Thermotogati; Synergistota.